This is a long non-coding RNA of Myotis davidii, 502 nucleotides long. RefSeq lists it as uncharacterized. Lineage: Eukaryota; Metazoa; Chordata; Mammalia; Chiroptera; Vespertilionidae. The transcript has 3 exons. The record is from RefSeq and is a predicted model, not a curated record.
AGACGCUGUUCAAGAGAAGGCGAUCCAGAGGUCCCCAGACGCUGUUCAAGAAAAGGCGAUCCAGAGGUCCCCCAACACUGUUCAAGAGAAGGCAACCCAGCGGUCCCCCGAAUCUGUCCAAGACAAGAGGACACACCUGUCCCCGGUCCCCCGAUGCUGUCCAAGAGAAGGCGAUCCAGAGGUCCCCCGACUCUGUCCCAAGAAGUCGACCCAGCGGUCCCUUGACGCUGUCCAAGACAAGGCGAUCCAGAGGUCCCCUGACGCUGUUCAUGAGAAGGCGAUCCAGAGGUCGCCUGACGCUGUUCAAGAGAAAAUGACCCUGAAGUCCCCUGAUGCUGUCCAAGGGAAGACGACCCAGCGGUCCCCCGACGCUGUCCAAAAGAAGGGGACCCAGCUCUCCCCCGACGCUGUUCAAGAGAAGGCGAUCCAGAGGUCCCCUGACGCUGUUCAAAAAAGGCGAUCCAGUUGUCCCCCGAUGCUUUCCAAGAGAAGGGGACCCAGA